This 78-nucleotide ribozyme is filed under the name Bos taurus (domestic cattle). RNAcentral describes it as "Mammalian CPEB3 ribozyme". It matches the Rfam family "Mammalian CPEB3 ribozyme". Rfam says of the family: The mammalian CPEB3 ribozyme is a self cleaving RNA located in the second intron of the CPEB3 gene which belongs to a family of genes regulating messenger RNA polyadenylation. This ribozyme is highly conserved and found only in mammals. Lineage: Eukaryota; Metazoa; Chordata; Mammalia; Artiodactyla; Bovidae. The record is from Rfam by way of RNAcentral. RNAcentral also lists the same sequence under 5 other names.
AAAGGAUAACAAGGGGCCAGAGCAGAAGCAUUCACGUCGCGGCCCCUGUCAGAUUCUGGUGAAUCUGCGAAUUCUGCU